GCACUGCUGACGAGUCCCAAACAGGACGAAACCGAUGUGCAGUGC
This 45-nucleotide non-coding RNA is filed under the name Echinostoma caproni. Lineage: Eukaryota; Metazoa; Platyhelminthes; Trematoda; Plagiorchiida; Echinostomatidae. The record is from RNAcentral.